GAUGAACGCUGGCGGCGUGCCUAAUACAUGCAAGUCGAGCGAACAGACGAUUAGUUUGCUCCCCUGACGUUUACGUCGGACGGGUGAGUAGCCCGUGGAUAACCUACUUAUAAGACUGGCAUAACUUCGGGAAUCCGGAGCUGAUACCGGAUAACAUGUUGAACCGCAUGAUUCAACCGUGAAAGCCGGUUUUGCUGUCACCUAUAGAUGAAGCCGCGCCGCAUUAGCUAGUUGGUAAGGUAACGGCUUCGCAAGGCUACGAUGCGUAGCCGACCUGAGAGGGUGAACGGACACCCUGGAAGUGAGACACGGUCCAGACUCCUACGGGAGGCAGCAGUAGGGAAUCUUACGCAAUGGGGGAAUGCCUGACGGAGCAACGCCGCGUGAGUGAAGAAGGUCUUCGGAUCGGAAAACGAUGUUAUUAGGGAAGAACAAAUGUGUAAGUAACUAUGCACGUCUUGACGGUACCUAACCAGAAAGCCACGGCUAACUACGUG
RNAcentral lists this ribosomal RNA (497 nucleotides) under uncultured bacterium. RNAcentral describes it as "partial 16S ribosomal RNA". It matches the Rfam family "Bacterial small subunit ribosomal RNA", at positions 28 to 507 of the family's 1533-position model. The record is from RNAcentral.